UGGCGAACGGGUGAGUAACACGUGAGCAACCUGCCCCCUACUUCGGGAUAAGCCUUGGAAACGAGGUCUAAUACCGGAUACGAGCACUUACCGCAUGGUGGGUGUUGGAAAGUUUUUCGGUAGGGGAUGGGCUCGCGGCCUAUCAGCUUGUUGGUGGGGUAAUGGCCUACCAAGGCGUCGACGGGUAGCCGGCCUGAGAGGGCGACCGGCCACACUGGGACUGAGACACGGCCCAGACUCCUACGGGAGGCAGCAGUGGGGAAUAUUGCACAAUGGGCGAAAGCCUGAUGCAGCGACGCCACGUGAGGGAUGACGGCCUUCGGGUUGUAAACCUCUUUCAGCAGGGAAGAAGCGAAAGUGACGGUACCUGCAGAAGAAGCGCCGGCUAACUACGUGCCAGCAGCCGCGGUAAUACGUAGGGCGCAAGCGUUGUCCGGAAUUAUUGGGCGUAAAGAGCUCGUAGGCGGUCUGUCGCGUCUGGUGUGAAAUCCCAUGGCUCAACUGUGGGCUUGCAUCGGGUACGGGCAGACUAGAGUGCUGUAGGGGAGACUGGAAUUCCUGGUGUAGCGGUGGAAUGCGCAGAUAUCAGGAGGAACACCGAUGGCGAAGGCAGGUCUCU
RNAcentral lists this ribosomal RNA (619 nucleotides) under Promicromonospora sp. I12A-00131. RNAcentral's name for it is "bacterial SSU rRNA". It matches the Rfam family "Bacterial small subunit ribosomal RNA", at positions 96 to 730 of the family's 1533-position model. Lineage: Bacteria; Bacillati; Actinomycetota; Actinomycetes; Micrococcales; Promicromonosporaceae. The record is from RNAcentral.